This is a long non-coding RNA of Eurytemora carolleeae, 324 nucleotides long. RefSeq lists it as uncharacterized. The transcript is spliced from 4 exons. NCBI's taxonomy places the organism in Eukaryota, Metazoa, Arthropoda, Copepoda, Calanoida, Temoridae. The record is from RefSeq and is a predicted model, not a curated record.
GGACAAGGAGAGAGACAAUUUAUCAAGAAAUUAAAAUGUUUAGAAUUGUGAUAGCCCUGGGCCUAUUCUAGUUCACUGCAGUGCUGGGGUUGGUAGAACAGGAACGUAUAUCUGUGUGGAACAGUUAAUGAGAUGUCUGGAUAAUCCAAACACGAAUUGUAUAGAUGUGUUCCAUGCUGUAUACCAGCUAAGAAAGGACAGGAGGUAUAUGGUUCAAACUAGGUCACAAUAUGAAUACGUUUACAGGUGCAUGUCGACCUACCUCAAGCAAAGAGAACAAAUGGAGAAAAUAAGAAGAGAUUCUCUCGUCUAAAACUUUUAUAU